Molecule: ribosomal RNA, 663 nt
Filed under: uncultured bacterium
Lineage: Bacteria
Description: bacterial SSU rRNA
Rfam family: Bacterial small subunit ribosomal RNA
Source: RNAcentral
UUGGUGGGGUAAUGGCCUACCAAGGCGACGACGGGUAGCCGGCCUGAGAGGGUGUCCGGCCACACUGGGACUGAGAUACGGCCCAGACUCCUACGGGAGGCAGCAGUGGGGAAUAUUGCACAAUGGGCGCAAGCCUGAUGCAGCGACGCCGCGUGAGGGAUGACGGCCUUCGGGUUGUAAACCUCUUUCAGCAGGGACGAAGCGCAAGUGACGGUACCUGUAGAAGAAGGGCCGGCCAACUACGUGCCAGCAGCCGCGGUAAUACGUAGGGUCCGAGCGUUGUCCGGAAUUACUGGGCGUAAAGAGCUCGUAGGUGGUUUGUCGCGUUGUUCGUGAAAACUCACAGCUUAACUGUGGGCGUGCGGGCGAUACGGGCAGACUUGAGUACUGCAGGGGAGACUGGAAUUCCUGGUGUAGCGGUGGAAUGCGCAGAUAUCAGGAGGAACACCGGUGGCGAAGGCGGGUCUCUGGGCAGUAACUGACGCUGAGGAGCGAAAGCGUGGGGAGCGAACAGGAUUAGAUACCCUGGUAGUCCACGCCGUAAACGAUGGGCACUAGGUGCUUGGGGGAGCGACCCUCUGAGUGCCGGCGCUAACGCAUUAAGUGCCCCGCCUGGGGAGUACGGCCCCGCCUGGGGAGUACGGCCCCGCCUGGGGAGUACGG